This 500-nucleotide ribosomal RNA is filed under the name Pseudomonas sp. Z85. RNAcentral describes it as "bacterial SSU rRNA". It matches the Rfam family "Bacterial small subunit ribosomal RNA", at positions 252 to 740 of the family's 1533-position model. The record is from RNAcentral. Lineage: Bacteria; Pseudomonadati; Pseudomonadota; Gammaproteobacteria; Pseudomonadales; Pseudomonadaceae.
GUGAGGUAAUGGCUCACCAAGGCUUACGAUCCGUAACUUGGUCUGAGAGGAUGAUCAGUCACACUGGAACUUGAGACACGGUCCAGACUCCUACGGGAGGCAGCAGUGGGGAAUAUUGGACAAUGGGCGAAAGCCUUGAUCCAAGCCAUGCCGCGUGUGUGAAGAAGGUCUUCGGAUUGUAAAGCACUUUAAGUUGGGAGGAAGGGUACUUACCUUAAUACGUGAGUAUUUUGACGUUACCGACAGAAUAAGCACCGGCUAACUCUGUGCCAGCAGCCGCGGUAAUACAGAGGGUGCAAGCGUUAAUCGGAAUUACUGGGCGUAAAGCGCGCGUAGGUGGUUUGUUAAGUUGGAUGUGAAAGCCCCGGGCUCAACCUGGGAACUGCAUCCAAAACUGGCAAGCUAGAGUAUGGUAGAGGGUGGUGGAAUUUCCUGUGUAGCGGUGAAAUGCGUAGAUAUAGGAAGGAACACCAGUGCGAAGCGACCACCUGGACUGAUAC